AUCACUUCUCAGCCUUUUGCUAUGAUAAAGUACAGUAUCUAUUCUUAUCAGUUUAAUAUCUGAUAUGUCCUUUAUCUAAGGUCAAUAUAUUAAGUGGAAAUUUGGGAUUAGGAUACAGAAUAGGAGCAUGGUCUGUCCACUCCACACAUCAACCUGGUAUUGCAGUUUUUCAGGAAUGGUACACACACA
Molecule: small nuclear RNA, 189 nt
Organism: Phyllostomus discolor (pale spear-nosed bat)
Lineage: Eukaryota; Metazoa; Chordata; Mammalia; Chiroptera; Phyllostomidae
Product: U2 spliceosomal RNA
Exons: 1
Source: RefSeq, a predicted model, not a curated record